GAACUUUCCAGAGAUGGAUUGGUGCCUUCGGGAACUGUGAGACAGGUGCUGCAUGGCUGUCGUCAGCUCGUGUUGUGAAAUGUUGGGUUAAGUCCCGCAACGAGCGCAACCCUUAUCCUUUGUUGCCAGCGGUCCGGCCGGGAACUCAAAGGAGACUGCCAGUGAUAAACUGGAGGAAGGUGGGGAUGACGUCAAGUCAUCAUGGCCCUUACGACCAGGGCUACACACGUGCUACAAUGGCGCAUACAAAGAGAAGCGACCUCGCGAGAGCAAGCGGACCUCAUAAAGUGCGUCGUAGUCCGGAUUGGAGUCUGCAACUCGACUCCAUGAAGUCGGAAUCGCUAGUAAUCGUGGAUCAGAAUGCCACGGUGAAUACGUUCCCGGGCCUUGUACACACCGCCCGUCACACCAUGGGAGUGAGUUGCAAAAGAAGUAGGUAGCUUAACCUUCGGGAGGGCGCUUACCACUUUGUGAUUCAUGACUGGGGUGAAGUCGUAACAAGGUAACCGUAGGGGAACCUGCGGUUGGAUCACCUCCUUACCUUAAAGAAGC
This 552-nucleotide ribosomal RNA is filed under the name Escherichia coli. RNAcentral's name for it is "bacterial SSU rRNA". It matches the Rfam family "Bacterial small subunit ribosomal RNA", at positions 993 to 1533 of the family's 1533-position model. RNAcentral also lists the same sequence under 1 other name. The record is from RNAcentral. Lineage: Bacteria; Pseudomonadati; Pseudomonadota; Gammaproteobacteria; Enterobacterales; Enterobacteriaceae.